GCCUUUUAACACUGUGUUUGAGUAUCUCUCAGCAUUCAUUCAACAAAGGUCAAAGGUUAUACAAUGAGCCAGAGAGCACCCCACUCUCCCAGACAGACAGUGGGCAGGGUUCCCCUGCUGGCAAUCCGUCAGACCCUCGGACCCUUCCAGAAGGGGGAACUCCUCCAGUAACAAAAUCUCUUCACAUCGACCUGAAGACUAGCUCUGCCUCAAAAGAGGGUCCGGCUCAAGUAGACGGUUCCACUUCUGAAACUUCCAGAGAACGUUCCCCACGGUCUGUUGGUUCCAGAGAGCAGGCUGGAGAAUCACAAGGAGAUCCCACGUCUCGUGAAAGAUUGUCUGUGUCUGUGACUACAAACCCUCUUUCUGCACUUGCAGAACAGACCACUGUUGGCAUGUAUCACCUGACAGGAACAUCCAUCACUCGAUCUCCAUUCAGUCUGAGAGUCCAUCACCAUGGGACCAAACCAACCGAUGCAUACUCCACGAGAAGCACAGUGCCUGGGACGACACAGUCAGCCACAACCCCUGAAGGAUCCGGCUUUGGGGACGACCCUGGGUGGAUAGACGGUCCGGGGAAGAACUUUGUGUCCAGCGAGAGUACUGUGGAGACGACCAAAACAGAAGGGGAAAACAUCAAAGAACAAUAAUAAGAGAACUUGAAGAGCUCAGUGGCCACACACCCUUGCUCAUUUAUUUUAAAGGAAAGGCCUUUACAUGUAGGUGAACCGCACAAAGUCGAAAUGAUGUCACUCUGUUUGUACCUCAUUUGUGUUUUUACAUUUCCUUUUACAUUGUCAAUACUCUAUCACGUGGGCAUAGAUUUAGAUUCUGUCUUAGUACUUAGUACUAACUUUGUAGUUACCUUUUCUCUAUGUUCUGAUAACUUAAAAUCUCAAGUGCAAGUUCGAAAAAGACAUUGUAGAGGUAGAAUCUAGGUUGUUGAAUUCGCUUUUUUUAGCUUAAAAUGUUUCAAAUUCUAGUGGUUUACUGUAUUUGGUAUGAUUUGAUUAGAAAAGAGGUGUUACAUUUGCUUAAACUACACAGGAGGUUCUAUUUGCCUCAAACAUUCCACAUACAGAAAAAUUGAUAACACUUCGUUGUCCUAAGAAUAACAUUACCGUGGCAUAAAAAUGUCAUAGGAAGGGGGCAUGUCCUAUAACUUUCAUGACCAGAAUGAAAUCAUAUUACAAUUAUUAUUAUUAGUUCUAUUAUUAUUAUUAAUUAUUAAUAUAAUAAUAAUAAUAAUGUUGUAAUAGUAUCAUAUAAUUAUGAAAUAGAGAUUAUGGGUAAAUGCCACUAUUUAGUUUGUGCUUUGUAGAACAGGUCAUGAGAGUAAUAAGGUGACAGCUGUGUGGGUGUUCUUUUUUAGAGUAUGGUCAGGAUUACCAUUAUAGAGAAGCCCAUUGGCAAAAUUUAAGGGAGUUUUUGGAAAUGGGGGAUGUUUUUCUGUGUUCUUAAUGUGAAUUGGAUUACUGAUAAGUAACAUUGCUCAGCACACUUGCAAUUGUCACA
Clupea harengus (Atlantic herring) is the source of this 1515-nucleotide long non-coding RNA. The record is from Ensembl. NCBI's taxonomy places the organism in Eukaryota, Metazoa, Chordata, Actinopteri, Clupeiformes, Clupeidae.